UCUUGUCUCCUCUUGAUCGU
This 20-nucleotide small nuclear RNA is filed under the name Arabidopsis thaliana (thale cress). RNAcentral describes it as "snRNA_06174". The record is from RNAcentral. Lineage: Eukaryota; Viridiplantae; Streptophyta; Magnoliopsida; Brassicales; Brassicaceae.